This 530-nucleotide ribosomal RNA is filed under the name Alouatta palliata (mantled howler monkey). RNAcentral's name for it is "partial 16S ribosomal RNA". It matches the Rfam family "Bacterial large subunit ribosomal RNA", at positions 1828 to 2582 of the family's 2925-position model. The record is from RNAcentral. Lineage: Eukaryota; Metazoa; Chordata; Mammalia; Primates; Atelidae.
UCUAGCAUUACUAGUAUUAGAGGCACUGCUGCCCGGUGACACAUGUUUAACGGCCGCGGUACCCUGACCGUGCAAAGGUAGCAUAAUCACUUGUUCUCUAAAUAAGGACUUGUAUGAAUGGCCACACGAGGGUUUAACUGUCUUUUACUUCUAAUCAGUGAAAUUGACCUAUCCGUGAAGAGGCGGAUAUAACUAAAUAAGACGAGAAGACCCUAUGGAGCUUAAAUUUAACAGUACAAACUAAUAAUUCAAAACCCCCAAUAGGCAGCAAUCUACCGUCCAUGUACUAUAAAUUUUGGUUGGGGUGACCUCGGAGCAUAAUAUAACCUCCGAAAAACAUACACACCAAGACCUCACCAGUCUAAGUAAAUCCACACCCAUUGACCCAAUAACUUGAUCAACGGACUAAGUUACCCUAGGGAUAACAGCGCAAUCCUAUUUUAGAGUCCAUAUCGACAAUAGGGUUUACGACCUCGAUGUUGGAUCAAGACAUCCUAAUGGUGCAGCCGCUAUUAAGGGUUCGUUUGUUC